RNAcentral lists this ribosomal RNA (832 nucleotides) under uncultured bacterium. Its description in RNAcentral is "bacterial SSU rRNA". It matches the Rfam family "Bacterial small subunit ribosomal RNA", at positions 61 to 904 of the family's 1533-position model. The record is from RNAcentral.
GUCGAACGGAAUUUACAUGAAGCCUAGCGAUUGUAAAUUUAGUGGCGGACGGGUGAGUAACGCGUGGGUAACCUGCCUUGUACUGGGGGACAACAGUUGGAAACGACUGCUAAUACCGCAUAAGCGCACAGCUUCGCAUGAAGCAGUGUGAAAAACUCCGGUGGUACAAGAUGGACCCGCGUCUGAUUAGCUGGUUGGUGAGGUAACGGCCCACCAAGGCGACGAUCAGUAGCCGGCCUGAGAGGGUGAACGGCCACAUUGGGACUGAGACACGGCCCAAACUCCUACGGGAGGCAGCAGUGGGGAAUAUUGCACAAUGGGGGAAACCCUGAUGCAGCAACGCCGCGUGAGUGAAGAAGUAUUUCGGUAUGUAAAGCUCUAUCAGCAGGAAAGAAAAUGACGGUACCUGACUAAGAAGCCCCGGCUAACUACGUGCCAGCAGCCGCGGUAAUACGUAGGGGGCAAGCGUUAUCCGGAUUUACUGGGUGUAAAGGGAGCGUAGACGGUUUUGCGAGUCUGAAGUGAAAGCCCGGGGCUUGACCCCGGGACUGCUUUGGAAACUGUAGGACUAGAGUGCAGGAGAGGUAAGUGGAAUUCCUAGUGUAGCGGUGAAAUGCGUAGAUAUUAGGAGGAACACCAGUGGCGAAGGCGGCUUACUGGACUGUAACUGACGUUGAGGCUCGAAAGCGUGGGGAGCAAACAGGAUUAGAUACCCUGGUAGUCCACGCCGUAAACGAUGAUUACUAGGUGUUGGUGGGUAUGACCCAUCGGUGCCGCAGCAAACGCAAUAAGUAAUCCACCUGGGGAGUACGUUCGCAAGAAUGAAACUCAA